GAUGAACGCUGGCGGCGUGCUUAACACAUGCAAGUCGAACGGAAAGGCUCCUGCUUGCAGGGGUACUCGAGUGGCGAACGGGUGAGUAACACGUGGGUAAUCUGCCCUGCACUUCGGGAUAAGCCUGGGAAACUGGGUCUAAUACCGGAUAGGACGAUGGUUUGGAUGCGAUUGUGGAGAGAUUUUUCGGUGUGGGAUGAGCUCGCGGCCUAUCAGCUUGUUGGUGGGGUAAUGGCCUACCAAGGCGUCGACGGGUAGCCGGCCUGAGAGGGUGUACGGCCACAUUGGGACUGAGAUACGGCCCAGACUCCUACGGGAGGCAGCAGUGGGGAAUAUUGCACAAUGGGCGCAAGCCUGAUGCAGCGACGCCGCGUGGGGGAUGACGGCCUUCGGGUUGUAAACUCCUUUCGCUAGGGACGAAGCGCAAGUGACGGUACCUGGAGAAGAAGCACCGGCUAACUACGUG
This 466-nucleotide ribosomal RNA is filed under the name uncultured bacterium. RNAcentral describes it as "partial 16S ribosomal RNA". It matches the Rfam family "Bacterial small subunit ribosomal RNA", at positions 28 to 507 of the family's 1533-position model. The record is from RNAcentral.